Molecule: long non-coding RNA, 247 nt
Filed under: Ictidomys tridecemlineatus (thirteen-lined ground squirrel)
Lineage: Eukaryota; Metazoa; Chordata; Mammalia; Rodentia; Sciuridae
Description: lncRNA (ENSSTOG00000034133.1)
Source: RNAcentral
ACAUCACCAAGAAUAUGUGCUAAAGCUGCUUUGGAAACGAUUCUGGCUCCUUCUGCAUUUCUCAGCCUGAUGAUCCAUGGCAGUUCCUGAAAACCUUCAACAUUCAGUCUCAGCUGGUCAGCAUCUAAGUGAAUUCUGGCUCUGCCUUGCUGGACACUGGAGCUCUGUCUCCAUCCCACUGGAAACUCCUCCAAUGGCCUUUCUGAAGUUGCAAAAUUCACACAGACUCCAAGCCAUCUGUCUCCAC